RNAcentral lists this small RNA (28 nucleotides) under Bombyx mori (domestic silkworm). Its description in RNAcentral is "ovarian small RNA-17632". Lineage: Eukaryota; Metazoa; Arthropoda; Insecta; Lepidoptera; Bombycidae. The record is from RNAcentral.
GUACGAAACAUACGAUGCCUCUGCGACC